CAGCAGCCGCGGUAAUGCGUAGGGUGCGAGCGUUAAUCGGAAUUACUGGGCGUAGAGCGUGCGCAGGCGGUUGUGUAAGACAGGUGUGAAAUCCCCGGGCUUAACCUGGGAACUGCGCUUGUGACUGCACAGCUAGAGUAUGGCAGAGGGGGGUGGAAUUCCACGUGUAGCAGUGAAAUGCGUAGAGAUGUGGAGGAACACCGAUGGCGAAGGCAGCCCCCUGGGCCAAUACUGACGCUCACGCACGAAAGCGUGGGGAGCAAACAGGAUUAGAUACCCCCGUAGUCCCUGUCUCUUAUAC
Molecule: ribosomal RNA, 301 nt
Filed under: uncultured bacterium
Lineage: Bacteria
Description: partial 16S ribosomal RNA
Rfam family: Bacterial small subunit ribosomal RNA
Source: RNAcentral